ACGGGGUGCAGCAGGCGCGAAAACUUUACAAUGCUGGCAACAGCGAUAAGGGAACCUCGAGUGCCAGGUUACAAAUCUGGCUGUCGAGAUGCCUAAAAAGCAUUUCAUAGCAAGGGCCGGGCAAGACCGGUGCCAGCCGCCGCGGUAAUACCGGCGGCUCGAGUGGUAACCAUUUUUAUUGGGUUUAAAGGGUCUGUAGCCGGGCUGAUAAGUCCCUUGAGAAAUCCGACAGCUCAACUGUCGGGCUUUCAAGGGAUACUGUCUGGCUCGAGGCCGGGAGAGGUGAGAGGUACUUCGGGGUAGGGGUGAAAUCUUGUAAUCCUUGAGGGACCACCUGUGGCAAGGCGUCUCACCAGAACGGACCUGACGGCGAGGGACGAAAAGCUAGGGGCACCAAACCGGAUUAGAUACCCCGGGUAGUCCUAGCCGUAAAACGAUACUCGCUUAGGUGUCGGCCACGGUGCGACCGUUGUCGGUGCCGUAGGGAAGCCGUGAAGCGAGCCACCUGGGAAGUACGGCCGCAAGGCUGAAACUUAAAGGAAUUGGCGGGGGAGCAC
Molecule: ribosomal RNA, 557 nt
Filed under: uncultured archaeon
Lineage: Archaea
Description: bacterial SSU rRNA
Rfam family: Archaeal small subunit ribosomal RNA
Source: RNAcentral